RNAcentral lists this ribosomal RNA (314 nucleotides) under uncultured soil bacterium. RNAcentral describes it as "bacterial SSU rRNA". It matches the Rfam family "Bacterial small subunit ribosomal RNA", at positions 26 to 342 of the family's 1533-position model. The record is from RNAcentral.
AGAUUGAACGCUGGCGGCAGGCCUAACACAUGCAAGUCGAGCGGUAGAGAGGUGCUUGCAUCUCUUGAGAGCGGCGGACGGGUGAGUAAUGCCUAGGAAUCUGCCUAGUGGUGGGGGAUAACGUUCGGAAACGGACGCUAAUACCGCAUACGUCCUACGGGAGAAAGCGGGGGACCUUCGGGCCUCGCGCCAUUAGAUGAGCCUAGGUCGGAUUAGCUAGUUGGUGAGGUAAUGGCUCACCAAGGCGACGAUCCGUAACUGGUCUGAGAGGAUGAUCAGUCACACUGGAACUGAGACACGGUCCAGACUCCUAC